GACAUUGUUAAAGCCUUCAAUUCGGAUCCUACUAUAGAUGUUUUAUUGCUUACUACACAUGUUGGUGGGCUUGGUUUGAACCUGACAUCAGCUGAUACCCUUGUGUUCAUGGAGCAUGACUGGAAUCCAAUGCGAGAUCACCAGGCUAUGGAUCGAGCUCACAGGUUGGGCCAGCGAAAAGUUGUGAAUGUGCAUCGUCUCAUUAUGCGAGGAACCUUGGAAGAAAAAGUAAUGAGUCUCCAAAGGUUCAAAGUGUCUGUUGCCAAUGCAGUGAUCAAUUCAGAGAAUGCAAGUUUGAAAACGA
This 304-nucleotide unclassified non-coding RNA is filed under the name Hevea brasiliensis (rubber tree). The record is from RNAcentral. Lineage: Eukaryota; Viridiplantae; Streptophyta; Magnoliopsida; Malpighiales; Euphorbiaceae.